RNAcentral lists this signal recognition particle RNA (271 nucleotides) under Octodon degus (degu). Its description in RNAcentral is "Metazoan signal recognition particle RNA (ENSODEG00000025818.1)". It matches the Rfam family "Metazoan signal recognition particle RNA". Rfam says of the family: The signal recognition particle (SRP) is a universally conserved ribonucleoprotein. It is involved in the co-translational targeting of proteins to membranes. Lineage: Eukaryota; Metazoa; Chordata; Mammalia; Rodentia; Octodontidae. The record is from Rfam by way of RNAcentral.
CCCGCGUGGUGGCACAUGCCUGUAGUCUUAGCUACUCGGGAGGCUGAGGUGGGAGGAUCACUUGAGCCCAGGAAUUGUGCACUGCAAUGCUGUACACCGAUCAGGUGUCCCCACUAAGUUUGGCAUCAAUAUGGUGACCUCCUAGGAGGGGGGCCAACCACCAGGUUGUCUAACGAAAUAUGAACUGGCCCAGGCCAGAAACGGAGUAGGUCAAAACUCACGUGCUGAUCGGGAUGUAUUUAGCCACCCUGAGCUAAAGAGCCUGUUUUGU